Molecule: transfer RNA, 76 nt
Filed under: Paenibacillaceae bacterium ZCTH02-B3
Lineage: Bacteria; Bacillati; Bacillota; Bacilli; Caryophanales; Paenibacillaceae
Description: tRNA-Thr
Rfam family: tRNA
About the family: Transfer RNA (tRNA) molecules are approximately 80 nucleotides in length. Their secondary structure includes four short double-helical elements and three loops (D, anti-codon, and T loops). Further hydrogen bonds mediate the characteristic L-shaped molecular structure. tRNAs have two regions of fundamental functional importance: the anti-codon, which is responsible for specific mRNA codon recognition, and the 3' end, to which the tRNAs corresponding amino acid is attached (by aminoacyl-tRNA synthetases). tRNAs cope with the degeneracy of the genetic code in two manners: having more than one tRNA (with a specific anti-codon) for a particular amino acid; and 'wobble' base-pairing, i.e. permitting non-standard base-pairing at the 3rd anti-codon position.
Source: RNAcentral
GCCGGCGUAGCUCAAUGGGCAGAGCAACUGAUUUGUAAUCAGUGGGUUGGGGGUUCAAGUCCUCUCGCCGGCACCA